GACGAACGCUGGCGGCGUGCUUAACACAUGCAAGUCGAACGGAAAGGCCCUGCUUUUGUGGGGUGCUCGAGUGGCGAACGGGUGAGUAACACGUGAGUAACCUGCCCUUAACUUUGGGAUAACUUCAGGAAACUGGGGCUAAUACCGGAUAGGAGCUCCUGCUGCAUGGUGGGGGUUGGAAAGUUUCGGCGGUUGGGGAUGGACUCGCGGCUUAUCAGCUUGUUGGUGGGGUAGUGGCUUACCAAGGCUUUGACGGGUAGCCGGCCUGAGAGGGUGACCGGCCACAUUGGGACUGAGAUACGGCCCAGACUCCUACGGGAGGCAGCAGUGGGGAAUAUUGCACAAUGGGCGGAAGCCUGAUGCAGCAACGCCGCGUGCGGGAUGACGGCCUUCGGGUUGUAAACUGCUUUCGCCUGUGACGAAGCGUGAGUGACGGUAAUGGGUAAAGAAGCACCGGCUAACUACGUG
Molecule: ribosomal RNA, 468 nt
Filed under: uncultured bacterium
Lineage: Bacteria
Description: partial 16S ribosomal RNA
Rfam family: Bacterial small subunit ribosomal RNA
Source: RNAcentral